Molecule: long non-coding RNA, 2083 nt
Filed under: Homo sapiens (human)
Lineage: Eukaryota; Metazoa; Chordata; Mammalia; Primates; Hominidae
Description: HSALNT0255593
Source: RNAcentral
CGCGGGCCCGCCCUUCUCAACGCCCUUUAGCGAGCGCCAAAAAACUCCCGACCCCUUCUUGGCGCGCGUCGCCGCAGAGCCCACCCAGGCGGGAUAGAGCUUAUGGAUUGGCUAAUGCCGCAGCAACUCCCGCCUGCCUGAGCUGUUCCCGGAGGUCCGCAAGCCCCCAGCCCUCCCAUGCGGAAGAGUCUGGCUGGUGCAGAGGGCUCAACUUUUCCCUAGGCUCUGGACCCAAAGGCCUUCCACGUCCUUUGGAACCUGCUUACUUCCUUUAUUCCCUCGCAGUCUGGCUCCUUCCUCCAUCCUGGGUGACCAGUGGGUGCCGACAUUGACAUUCAUAUAAGAACACGGAGGAGGUGCAGGAUGGGUGCUCACUGUUCCUGGAGUGUCACUGUUUCUGGUCCCUCUAAGUGGAUAGAGCAAGGAAAUAUACAUAUGUAUACACACAUCUAUAUGUAUCAAUAUAUCUGUUAAACGAAAACCAUGAAUUCAGACUGAUGCCUCCAAAUCCAGUCCUACAAGGUUCAUUUUAAGCAUUCCCAUCUCCUGUUUUAUUUGUAACUUCCUUCUCCACAGUGAGACACCCAGCUCUCAUUAUCUACAAGUUUACUUAUUUGUUCAACCCUGUUUGUGUGUAUUACAUGGGCCCAUGUGCCCACACCCACACACACAAAAGUAGUUUCAAAAUUGCUAAAUCAUGGCUGGCCCAACGGCUCACACCUAUAAUCCCAGCACCUUGGGAGGCUGAGGCGGGCGGAUCACUUGAGCUCAGGUGUUUGAGACCAGCCUGGCCAACAUGGUGAAACCUUGUCUCUGCUGGAAAUACAAAAAAUUAGCCAGGUGUGGUGGCUCGUGCCUGUAGUCCCAGCUACUUGGGAGGCUGAGGCAGGAGAAUCGCUUGAACCCGGGAGGCAGAGGUUGCAGUGAGCCGAGAUUGCACCAUUGCACUCUAGCCUGGGCAAAAAGAGCAAAACUCCAUCUCAAAAAAUAAUAAUAAAAAAUAAUAAUUAAAAAAAAGCACAGAAAAGCAAACUAUGGAAUGUCAUAUAAAUAUUACGGGACAUAUAAUUAUCCCCGUAUGAUAAAAACUCUAGGUUAUUCCAGAAAGUUUCUAGAGUCACUCAAAUGUAUUAAUGCCCACCACUGGUGGGAGGAGUGGUAUAAGAAAUAAGAAAUUCAGGGCCGGGCGCAGUGGCUGACACCUGUAAUCCCAGCAAUUUGGGAAGCUGAGGUGAACGGAUCAUGAAGUCAGGAAAUCAAGACCAUCAUGGGUAACAUGGUGAAACCCUGUCUCUACUAAAAAAAAUUAGCUGGGUGUGGUGGCAUGCACCUGUAAUUCCAGCUACUCAGGAGGCUGAGGCAAAAAAAUCACAUGAACCCAGGAGGCGGGGUUUACAGUGAGCUGAGAUCAUGCCAUUGCACUCCAGCCUGGGCAACAAGUGUGAAACUCCAUCUCAAAAAAAAAAUUUUUUUAAUUUAAAAAAUAAAACAGGACAGGAGCAAGGUUGACACAAAGAACUGUGGCCAGGGGAACAGAGGGACAGUUGGUCUCCUGUCUACUCACACCUAGAGGAAGAAUACAGCAAAUAACAUUAUGUGCCAGGCAUCCUGCUAUUCUAAUUGCGUGGUCUCAUUGAGAUGUGGGUGCCACUGUAGUGCUCAUUUUUAGAGGAUGAAACUGAGGGUCGCAGAGGCUGAAAUCCCACUGCUAAGGAUCAAUCAAAAUUCAAAUCUAGUCGGUCUGACUCUUGAGGCUGGGAUCAUGUAGCCACACUUAUAGUGCCACACUGCCUCACUGUCUACUAUCACGUUUUGUCUUGAAAAGAAGUGCUAGGGCCAGGCAUGAUGGCUUGUGCCUAUAAUCUCAGUACUUUGGGAGGCCAAGGCUGGAGGAUCACCUGAGGUCAGGAGUUCAAGACUAUUUUGGGCAACAUAGGGGAGACCCUGUCUGUACAAAAAAUUUCAAAAUGCCAGACGCGGUGGCUCACGCCUGUAAUCCCAGCACUUUGGGAGGCCGAGGAGGGUGGACCACUUGAGGUCAGCAGUUUGAGACCAGCCUGGCCAACAUGGUGAAACCCCAUCU